Molecule: ribosomal RNA, 508 nt
Filed under: uncultured bacterium
Lineage: Bacteria
Description: bacterial SSU rRNA
Rfam family: Bacterial small subunit ribosomal RNA
Source: RNAcentral
UCAGGGUGAACGCUAGCUACAGGCUUAACACAUGCAAGUCGAGGGGCAGCAGAUCGAUAGCUUGCUAUUGAUGCUCGGCGACCGGCGCACGGGUGAGUAACGCGUAUCCAACCUUCCCUAUAGUAGAGGAUAGCCCGGCGAAAGUCGGAUUAAUACUCUAUGUUUUCCAAUGCAGACAUCUAAGUUGGAACAAAGGUUCACCGCUAUAGGAUGGGGAUGCGUCUGAUUAGGUUGUUGGCGGGGUAACGGCCCACCAAGCCUACGAUCAGUAGGGGUUCUGAGAGGAAGGUCCCCCACAUUGGAACUGAGACACGGUCCAAACUCCUACGGGAGGCAGCAGUGAGGAAUAUUGGUCAAUGGGCGAGAGCCUGAACCAGCCAAAAGUAGCGUGCAGGAUGACGGCCCUAUGGGUUGUAAACUGCUUUUAUACGGGGAUAAAGUGAGGGACGUGUCCCUUUUUGUAGGUACCGUAUGAAUAAGGACCGGCUAAUUCCGUGCCAGCCGCGGC